This 434-nucleotide ribosomal RNA is filed under the name uncultured bacterium. RNAcentral describes it as "bacterial SSU rRNA". It matches the Rfam family "Bacterial small subunit ribosomal RNA", at positions 61 to 507 of the family's 1533-position model. The record is from RNAcentral.
GUCGCGCGAGAAUUCCCUUCGGGGAAUGGACAGCGGCGAAAGGGAGAGUAAUACGUAGAAAUCUACCCUCGGGUCUGGGAUAGCGUCGGGAAACUGGCGGUAAUACCGGAUAACGUCUUCGGACCAAAGGUGUGACUCCACCUGAGGAUGAGUCUACGACCUAUUAGCUAGUUGGCGGGGUAAUGGCCCACCAAGGCAAUGAUGGGUACCGGGUGUGAGAGCAUGACCCGGCUCACUGGGACUGAGACACUGCCCAGACACCUACGGGUGGCUGCAGUCGAGAAUCUUUGUCAAUGGACGAAAGUCUGAACAAGCGACGCCGCGUGCGGGAUGAAGGCCCUCGGGUUGUAAACCGCUGUCGUAGGGGAACAAAUUCUUAGGGGUACUCCCCUUUGAUUGAGUGAUCCUAGGAGGAAGGACGGGCUAAGUUCGUG